GUAGCAAUCAAUUUAUUUUUUUGUACAUUCAGAUUCUGAUGAAAUGUUUGUCUUCUCCAGAUUGUUUAAAGUUCUUGGAAGAAUGUUCCAAAAAGCUUUUCUGAUUAGAUUUUGAGAGCUCUGUGGAGAAAGAAUCACACAUGUACCUGAUUGCUUCCUUGGAUCAAUGCCCCUGCCCUUUAUAGCAUGCUCUGGUUGACUGCUAGCCAUGCAGACCUCAGGGAAGAGCUGGAUGGCACAGAACUGUGAUUCAUGCCAGAAUCAGAGACUUCACAUGCUGAGUAAUGAACUUGUGGAAUAUGUAGUCACAGCAGAUUUUAAAGGCAAACAGUAUGAGCAGUAGACACAGGCAAGGAAUUCACUCACCACUUCGCAUCAGCAAGCUUGGCGUUUAGCCACCUCCAGGAAAGCAGGGCUCCAUCAUGUGUAACAGUUACUUGGGAAGACAAAUGCCAUCACUCUGAACAUCCCCCUUUCCUUCUUCCUCCAGCUUAAUACUGCUGAGCAUGGCAUCAUAUGAUCUGGAAUACCGCUUUGGUCAGCUGGGGUUAGCUGUCCCAGCUGUGUCCCCUCCUAACU
RNAcentral lists this long non-coding RNA (579 nucleotides) under Strigops habroptila (Kakapo). RNAcentral describes it as "lncRNA (ENSSHBG00005003816.1)". Lineage: Eukaryota; Metazoa; Chordata; Aves; Psittaciformes; Psittacidae. The record is from RNAcentral.